GGGCCUGUAGCUCAGGGGUAGAGCACUGGACUUUUAAUCCAGGUGUCUUGGGUUCGAUUCCCAACAGGCUCGC
Molecule: transfer RNA, 73 nt
Filed under: uncultured archaeon
Lineage: Archaea
Description: tRNA-Lys(ttt)
Rfam family: tRNA
About the family: Transfer RNA (tRNA) molecules are approximately 80 nucleotides in length. Their secondary structure includes four short double-helical elements and three loops (D, anti-codon, and T loops).
Source: RNAcentral